UUGAACUGAAGAGUUUGAUCCUGGCUCAGAUUGAACGCUGGCGGCAUGCCUUACACAUGCAAGUCGAACGGCAGCACGGGCUUCGGCCUGGUGGCGAGUGGCGAACGGGUGAGUAAUACAUCGGAACAUGUCCUGUAGUGGGGGAUAGCCCGGCGAAAGCCGGAUUAAUA
This 170-nucleotide ribosomal RNA is filed under the name Burkholderia ubonensis. Its description in RNAcentral is "partial 16S ribosomal RNA". It matches the Rfam family "Bacterial small subunit ribosomal RNA", at positions 1 to 168 of the family's 1533-position model. Lineage: Bacteria; Pseudomonadati; Pseudomonadota; Betaproteobacteria; Burkholderiales; Burkholderiaceae. The record is from RNAcentral.